RNAcentral lists this non-coding RNA (25 nucleotides) under Mus musculus (house mouse). Lineage: Eukaryota; Metazoa; Chordata; Mammalia; Rodentia; Muridae. The record is from RNAcentral.
UGACAAGCACUUAUUUUAUUCUUCA